RNAcentral lists this long non-coding RNA (2385 nucleotides) under Marmota monax (woodchuck). Lineage: Eukaryota; Metazoa; Chordata; Mammalia; Rodentia; Sciuridae. The record is from RNAcentral.
AGUACUUCAAGGUUGGUAUAAUCUGGUUGUUAUUCUAAAUCUCUGCUUUAGUUGUUAAAGUGAUAUGCAAAUUAAUCAGAUUCAGUGGGUAGGGUAGCCUGGGGGCAGCACUGUACUGGGAUUGACUUAGAUUGAGAUUUCAGAAAUAAAGUAUAUAACAGCCACAGAAUAUGAUCAGAGCAACUGGUAACCAAGAGGAAUAAAUCUCUUGACUGAACUAAAUAGACACAACAGCUCUUCAGCUGGGCGUAGUGAUGCAGGCCUGUAAUCCCAGUGAUUUGGGAGGUUGAGGCAGGAGGAUCUUAAGUUCAAGGGUACCCUCAGCAAAGUGAGGCCCUGAGCAACUUAGUGAGACCCUGUCUCAAAAAAUAAAAAGGGCUGGGGACAGCUCAGUGGUAAAGUACCCCUGAGUUCAAACCUUAGCAUCACCACCACCACCAACAAAAAAACCCAGAAACCACUUCUCCAAAUUGCUCUUUACAUCCAGCUUCUAAGAGGCCUAGUCAGCUGAUUAGAAAGUUAUAUUGGUUCUAGAUGCCUUAAAAUAUAACUGUCUAGAUUUAAAAUGGUUCCUAUUUGGAAAUGUGACGUUUUCUGGCUGGUGUUAAUGGUAUUUUCCAGCUCAGAUAUUUUAGUUUUAGUAGUAACCAAGAGCUUUAAUUCUCAUGUGUGCUCAUUAUUUUAUUCUGAACUGAUUCUUCCUCUUGAGUUCUGUUAGUAUGGACCCCAAGUUUUUAGUUGUCCUGUGAUCUAGCUCAGCUUUUUAAAGAAUAUCCUGAGUGAACUUUCAGGUAGAACUGCUAUUUUCUAUGCUGUGAUUAUAAAAGCAUUUAGUUUUGUUUGAGGGGUAGUGACCUGGGGAUAAUAUAAACUGGUUUUCAUUCCCAGGGUGCUUAACUCCCUUUUCUGGAGACUAACUAGUCUGACACUUAAAUGAACCUGCUUUUGAAUGACUUGUACUUGACCCAAGUUAUUCUCUGGCUUUGAUAGGUUGCCACCACCUUGUCCUUUAGUACUACUCCUUUGUCUUACUUCAUUUGAAGCUGACCGUGGAAUGUGAAUAAAGUCUUUUGUGUUCACAUUCAUUUUUUAGUUUAUUCUUUUUUUUUUGUUUUAAUUCUUCUCCUAUCUUAGUUGGAUGCUUAGUUCUUUAAAAAAUAUACAUAAUCUUUUUAGCUGGUAAUAGUCUAUUUGCCUUUAUUCUGGUUACUGAUAUGUUUGAACUUCUUUCCUUUGUUGUUCUUUUCCUCCUUCUUUUUGUAGUCUUUCUCUUUAUUCUUACUGGCUUUUAUAUCUUAAGUCCUUAUUUCUCAGGCUUGUCUUACCUUCCCUAGUGGUUCCACCAUUUCUUGUCUUUUAAUGGUUCCCAUUCAUACUCGUUUUAGUCAGUUUAUGAUAAUGGACUGGGCAGGUGAAACCACACGUUUAUUUCCUCACAGCUGUGGAGGCCAAGUCCAAGAUCAAGGUCUUCCCAGUCUGCUUCCUGGUUUGCAGACUGCUGUCUUUUGAUGGCAUCCUCCCACGACUUAGAACAGACAAUAAGAGCUCUUGUGCCCGAGCAUGCUUUUGUUCUCUCUUUUUUUCCUCUGUGCUAGGGCAUUCUACCACUGAGUUCAUUCCCAGCCCUUUUUUAUUUUGAGACAGCAUCUUGCAAGGUUGCUGAGGCAGGUAUCCACCUUGUGAUCCUCCUGCCUCAGCCUCCUGAAUCACUAGAUUACAGGUGUAUGCCACCAGGCCCAGCUAAGAGCUGUCCCUUCUCAUGGGUCAUUCAUCACAUUCAUGAGGGAUUGACCCUAAAAUCUAAUCAUCUCCCACAGGCCCAACUCCCCAAAAUACCAAUUUUAGGGAGACAUGGAUAUUCACCCUAACAACACCUAAUGAAGAAUAACAUCAUUAAUGUCCCCUCUCGAAAAAUACAGGAACUUAUGUUAUCAUUGUCUGUCAUCUUAGUCUUUUUUUUUUUUUAAACCACUUGAUGUGGACAUUAUUGCCUCCACUUGUCAUUCAGGCAGUGUUUGCUAGCUUUGCUGUUCAUCGCUUCUUUUGUAUCUCAGACCUUCUUUCCAGAAUUAUGUUUUCUGAAAGGUUCCCCGGUGUGUGUGGCUAGACUGAUGGUAAAGGUGAUCUUAGUGCAUACAGUUUUGGUUGGACGGUUCUUCAACACUUGGAAGAUGUUAAUCUAUUCUUAUUUGGGCUUUCAUUGUUCCUGUGAGGAAGUCUGGCCCGUCAGGUGGCAUUCUACAUUUACAUCUUUCUCUAUAACUGUUCUGAAAAUCUUUGAUUUGGUUUAUCUAGGAGGGUUUUUUUUUAAUUAUUCUAUUUGAUAUGCAUUGUGUUUCCUUUAUCUGUACAUGGGUGUCUUCUCUCAUUUUUGGAAAACUCAGC